GAUUUCUGGCUUGAAACAUUUUGCCAGCCACGGUUUCGUGUGUUAGUGCUUGAUGUUCUGGUCAUCCUUCCAAUCGCUAUUCACCUUUCUUCAUUGAUUGGUGGGUGGUAUUGGAUCUUUUACUUUGAAAAAAUUAGAGUGUUUCAAGCAGGCUUUAUGCUAUGAAUACAUUAGCAUGGAAUAAUAAUUUAGGACUUCGGUUCUAUUUUGUUGGUUUCUAGGACUGAAGUAAUGAUUGAUAGGGAUAGUUGGGGGUGCUAGUAUUCAGCGGCCAGAGGUGAAAUUCUCGGAUUCGCUGAAGACUAACUUAUGCGAAAGCAUU
RNAcentral lists this ribosomal RNA (322 nucleotides) under uncultured cercomonad. RNAcentral's name for it is "SSU rRNA". The stretch from base 62 to 322 matches the Rfam family "Eukaryotic small subunit ribosomal RNA", at positions 694 to 955 of the family's 1831-position model. The record is from RNAcentral. Lineage: Eukaryota; Cercozoa; Cercomonadida; Cercomonadidae.